Molecule: ribosomal RNA, 837 nt
Filed under: uncultured bacterium
Lineage: Bacteria
Description: bacterial SSU rRNA
Rfam family: Bacterial small subunit ribosomal RNA
Source: RNAcentral
ACGAGUGGCGGACGGGUGAGUAAUGCUUGGGAACUUGCCUUUGCGAGGGGGAUAACAGUUGGAAACGACUGCUAAUACCGCAUAAUGUCUACGGACCAAACGGGGCUUAGGCUCCGGCGCAAAGAGAGGCCCAAGUGAGAUUAGCUAGAUGGUGAGGUAAAGGCUCACCAUGGCAACGAUCUCUAGCUGUUCUGAGAGGAAGAUCAGCCACACUGGGACUGAGACACGGCCCAGACUCCUACGGGAGGCAGCAGUGGGGAAUAUUGCACAAUGGGGGAAACCCUGAUGCAGCCAUGCCGCGUGUGUGAAGAAGGCCUUCGGGUUGUAAAGCACUUUCAGUUGUGAGGAAAGGGUGUUGGUUAAUACCCAAUAUCUGUGACGUUAACAACAGAAGAAGCACCGGCUAACUCCGUGCCAGCAGCCGCGGUAAUACGGAGGGUGCGAGCGUUAAUCGGAAUUACUGGGCGUAAAGCGCACGCAGGCGGUUUGUUAAGCUAGAUGUGAAAGCCCCGGGCUCAACCUGGGACGGUCAUUUAGAACUGGCAGACUAGAGUCUUGGAGAGGGGAGUGGAAUUCCAGGUGUAGCGGUGAAAUGCGUAGAUAUCUGGAGGAACAUCAGUGGCGAAGGCGACUCCCUGGCCGAAGACUGACGCUCAUGUGCGAAAGUGUGGGUAGCGAACAGGAUUAGAUACCCUGGUAGUCCACACCGUACACGCUGUCUACUAGCUGUGUGUGAAUUUAAUUCGUGCGUAGCGAAGCUAACGCGCUAAGUAGACCGCCUGGGGAGUACGGCCGCAAGGUUAAAACUCAAAUGAAUUGACGGGGGCCCGCACAAGC